This 508-nucleotide ribosomal RNA is filed under the name uncultured bacterium. RNAcentral's name for it is "partial 16S ribosomal RNA". It matches the Rfam family "Bacterial small subunit ribosomal RNA", at positions 28 to 523 of the family's 1533-position model. The record is from RNAcentral.
GACGAACGCUGGCGGCGCGCUUAAUACGUGCAAGUCGAGCGAGAACCGGAGCUUCGGCUCCGGGGACAGCGGCGAACGGGUGAGUAACACGUGGGUAACCUGCCCUCGGCACCGGGAUAGCCCGGGGAAACCCGGAUUAAUACCGGAUGGCCCUUUCGGUCUUCGGACCGGUCGGCAAAGGUAGCUUCGGCCUCCGGCCGAGGAUGGGCCCGCGGCGGAUUAGCUUGUUGGUGUGGUAACGGCUCACCAAGGCUCCGAUCCGUAGCCGGUCUGAGAGGACGAUCAGCCACACUGGGACUGAGACACGGCCCAGACUCCUACGGGAGGCAGCAGUAGGGAAUCUUGCGCAAUGGGCGAAAGCCUGACGCAGCGACGCCGCGUGCGGGAAGACGGCCUUCGGGUUGUAAACCGCUUUCAGGAGGGACGAAGCCACUCGGGUGAAUAGCCCAGAGGGUGACGGUACCUCCAGAAGAAGCCCCGGCUAACUACGUGCCAGCCGCCGCGGUAA